AAAACUUUCAACAACGGAUCUCUUGGUUCCAGCAUCGAUGAAGAACGCAGCGAAAUGCGAAAAGUAAUGUGAAUUGCAGAAUUCCGUGAAUCAUCGAAUCUUUGAACGCACAUUGCGCCCUCCGGUAUUCCGAAGGGCAUGCCUGUUCGAGCGUCAUUG
RNAcentral lists this ribosomal RNA (159 nucleotides) under Rinodina ramboldii. RNAcentral describes it as "5.8S ribosomal RNA". It matches the Rfam family "5.8S ribosomal RNA". From Rfam's summary of the family: 5.8S ribosomal RNA (5.8S rRNA) is a component of the large subunit of the eukaryotic ribosome. It is transcribed by RNA polymerase I as part of the 45S precursor that also contains 18S and 28S rRNA. Lineage: Eukaryota; Fungi; Ascomycota; Lecanoromycetes; Caliciales; Physciaceae. The record is from RNAcentral.